This 713-nucleotide ribosomal RNA is filed under the name uncultured bacterium. RNAcentral describes it as "bacterial SSU rRNA". It matches the Rfam family "Bacterial small subunit ribosomal RNA", at positions 28 to 740 of the family's 1533-position model. The record is from RNAcentral.
AUUGAACGCUGGCGGAAUGCUUUACACAUGCAAGUCGAACGGUAGAGGGGGCAACCCCUUGAGAGUGGCGAACGGGUGAGUAAUGUAUCGGAACGUGCCCAGUCGUGGGGGAUAACGUAGUGAAAAUUACGCUAAUACCGCAUACGAUCUACGGAUGAAAGCGGGGGAUCGCAAGACCUCGCGCGACUGGAGCGGCCGAUAUCAGAUUAGGUAGUUGGUAGGGUAAAGGCCUACCAAGCCAACGAUCUGUAGCUGGUCUGAGAGGACGACCAGCCACACUGGAACUGAGACACGGUCCAGACUCCUACGGGAGGCAGCAGUGGGGAAUUUUGGACAAUGGGCGAAAGCCUGAUCCAGCCAUUCCGCGUGCAGGAUGAAGGCCCUCGGGUUGUAAACUGCUUUUGUACAGAACGAAAAGGUUUCUAUUAAUACUAGAAGCUCAUGACGGUACUGUAAGAAUAAGCACCGGCUAACUACGUGCCAGCAGCCGCGGUAAUACGUAGGGUGCAAGCGUUAAUCGGAAUUACUGGGCGUAAAGCGUGCGCAGGCGGUUAUAUAAGUCAGAUGUGAAAUCCCCGGGCUCAACCUGGGAACUGCAUUUGAGACUGUAUAGCUAGAGUACGGUAGAGGGGGAUGGAAUUCCGCGUGUAGCAGUGAAAUGCGUAGAUAUGCGGAGGAACACCGAUGGCGAAGGCAAUCCCCUGGACCUGUAC